GAAAAAGGGGGAUCGAAAAAAUCAAUUUCUAGAGAACACUCACUCGAAAAAGAUUCUUCCUACGGGCGAAGUCGAUAUUCGAGUGAAAAAUUCAGAGACAACAAAGAGGAACUGAUUGCCUUGGUAAAAAAGGCUAGAGUAAAAACUCACGAUCCCAUGUAUAAAGACAGUGUAUCAAAACGAGACAAGAAUAGAAUCAAAAUCAAACACGGAAAAGUAGUGAAUGGGACAUGGACCAACCAAACCGCUGAAAAAGAACUACAGGAUUUAAAGACUUUAUGUGAGGAGAUUUUUGGAUCCAUCGAUUAUCAUGAUGAUCCUGCAAGAAAAAACAGCGGGAGGCGUUGGUACUAUUGAAGUUUUUUUGUACGAAUUGGAACUCAACGACUGCGUGUAAUAGGCAGAAACAAUAUAUUUGUUGAAAGUACAUGACGUGAAAGCAAACGACGAUAAAGAUUAUACCAAAAUGAACAAAUACAAGCAUUAAAAAAUUAAAAAAAAAAAACGUCAGAUUAUAGAGCAAUAACGCUUAUAUUAUGUUAAAAAAUUUGAUCAUACUAACAUAUGUGCACUACAUGGU
Styela clava is the source of this 580-nucleotide non-coding RNA. NCBI's taxonomy places the organism in Eukaryota, Metazoa, Chordata, Ascidiacea, Stolidobranchia, Styelidae. The record is from RefSeq and is a predicted model, not a curated record.